RNAcentral lists this ribosomal RNA (200 nucleotides) under uncultured prokaryote. Its description in RNAcentral is "partial 16S ribosomal RNA". It matches the Rfam family "Bacterial small subunit ribosomal RNA", at positions 1183 to 1382 of the family's 1533-position model. The record is from RNAcentral.
CGUCAAAUCAUCAUGCCCCUUAUAACUUGGGCUACACACGUGCUACAAUGGCUGCAACAAAGUGAAGCAAUCCGGCGACGGUGAGCAAAACACAAAAAAGCAGUCUCAGUUCGGAUUGUAGUCUGCAACCCGACUACAUGAAGUUGGAAUCGCUAGUAAUCGCAAAUCAGCAUGUUGCGGUGAAUACGUUCUCGGGCCUU